GCCGGCGGCCGCGGAACCCCAGCCAGGGCUCCAGCGCUUGCUUCGCUGCUCCAAAGAUGCUGUGCCGUGCGGGCGGCUCCUCCGUGCAGUUGACUUGAAGGGCUCAAGGACUCCACGGUCCCUAGCAGGAGGCUAGGUCCUGGGGACACCCCUCUUCCCUCCCAGACCCACCUGGCAGAAAGACUUCAGAUUAUCAACCCAGUUGUCACGUUAACUCGGUUUAUGGAAUUCAACUCCCACCGCCAUCCCAAGGCUGCAAAUUUCUCGCCCCACCACAUCGAGUGCUGGCCGCUUCAUUCAUUGUGAUUUUCUAUGUUCCUGCCCUGGACUAACAGCCCUUCCCGUAUAUCUUAGCUAAGUCUUAUAACAACCCUCCGAGGUAGGUGUGGUCAUCCCCAUAUUACAGAUGCAAAGUAACUUGCCCGGUCUUACAGCUUAUAGAUGGGCACUGCUGGGUUUGGAGCCCAAGUCCAUUUUGACCCCAGAGCCCUAAAUCUUUAUUGCUGUUCUUUACAUAACAAGAAUAAGAAUAGCUAAUACUUAUUGACCAAUUACUACCUGCCAGGCACUGGGCAAAGUAUUUCUCCAAACUACUCUCACAGGCAGCUCUGCCACUUACCACUCAAGCAAGUUUCUUAACCUCUUUUUGACUCAAUUCCCUGUCUGCAAAAUGAGGCUAAAAAUGCGGCUGUUGUGUAGAGUAAAUGAAUUAACAUAUAUAAAACACUUAGAACACAGACUGGCACAUAUAUAAUCCCUCAAAAUUUUCUCUUUUUUUUUUUUCACCAUCACAAGUUUCUCACCCAGGCUUGGAGAGGGUAAGCAACUAAGGAGUCCGGACGGCCCAGGGCUCACCCUGCAGCACAGACCUGCUCAGGAGUCGUGCGGGAUGCGGGCCUGCCGCAGGUGAGUCGCAUCGGGCAGGUGGCAGACGUGCUUUUCGGGCUUUGCUGCAGAGCGCGCCGCAGCCCGGAGGCCUCGAAGGGUCCCUCGCGGACAUGCAAGUCUGGGGGCCGCCUCGCUCCGCAUUUGGGUGUGCAAGGGCCCCGGCGGUGUGGGGGGUGCCGCUGGAGCCCCUCAAAAGCACUGCGGGCGACACCAGUGCGCCGGGGCGGGCUGCCCUGCGGGCGGGGAGCCGUGGGGCGCGGGGGCACCCUGCCG
This 1161-nucleotide long non-coding RNA is filed under the name Equus asinus (donkey). RNAcentral's name for it is "lncRNA (ENSEASG00005032341.1)". Lineage: Eukaryota; Metazoa; Chordata; Mammalia; Perissodactyla; Equidae. The record is from RNAcentral.